GCGUAGAUAGUCAAGUGGCAACGACAAGAGACUGUAAAUCUCUCCUCAUUCGAGUUCGGUGGUUCGAGUCCAUCUCUACGCA
Molecule: transfer RNA, 82 nt
Filed under: Granulicatella sp.
Lineage: Bacteria; Bacillati; Bacillota; Bacilli; Lactobacillales; Carnobacteriaceae
Description: tRNA-Tyr
Rfam family: tRNA
About the family: Transfer RNA (tRNA) molecules are approximately 80 nucleotides in length. Their secondary structure includes four short double-helical elements and three loops (D, anti-codon, and T loops). Further hydrogen bonds mediate the characteristic L-shaped molecular structure. tRNAs have two regions of fundamental functional importance: the anti-codon, which is responsible for specific mRNA codon recognition, and the 3' end, to which the tRNAs corresponding amino acid is attached (by aminoacyl-tRNA synthetases). tRNAs cope with the degeneracy of the genetic code in two manners: having more than one tRNA (with a specific anti-codon) for a particular amino acid; and 'wobble' base-pairing, i.e. permitting non-standard base-pairing at the 3rd anti-codon position.
Source: RNAcentral